This is a non-coding RNA of Chlorocebus sabaeus (green monkey), 1021 nucleotides long. NCBI's taxonomy places the organism in Eukaryota, Metazoa, Chordata, Mammalia, Primates, Cercopithecidae. The record is from RefSeq and is a predicted model, not a curated record.
GCACUCCAGCCUGGGCAACAGAAUGAGACUACAUCUAAAAACAAAAAAAAGAAAAGAAAGAAAAAGAAAAUUAUGACUCAGGGAAAAAUUCAGUCAUUUCCUAACUGUAGAGUUAGUUCAGACUAUUUUCUAAUCAUAGUGCACCCAACUGAGAAACAGUACCCUUGCUUCUGUUUGUAUGUAUGUAUUGUUAUUGGAUCCUGGCUGCCACUUUGAUGCACUGGCACGGCCUUCCUGGUACUACUGGGGGUCCCAUGGCACCAGCUGAGAGAAGGCAGUGCACACGUGUAGCCCCCCCCCCCCCCCGUCCUGGGGUGAGGAAGGCAGUGCACAUUCCUGGGGUGAAGAAGGUAGUACACACGUGCGGGACCCCCCUGGGGUGAAGAAGGUAGUACACACGUGCGGGACCCCCCUGGGGUGAAGAAGGUGGGGCAUUCAUAUUCUGUCACUCCCGCACCAUCUGGGGGGCCUGGGCCACCUUAUUCACUGCAACACCUCGGUUGGUCCUGAAAAGUUAAUGCUUUACUUUCCAGAAGUGGGGACUUGAGCAAGAGGCUGGGCACUGAGCCAGGAUGGCAGGGCUGGGAAAUGACAGCCUGGGGCAUUUCGAGGCAGGGGCCACCCAAGCCUGCCAGCCUCAGCCCAACCUUCCCACCAGACAGGGGUCCAUUUAAGGCACAUCUGCCCUGACUUGUUGACAACUUUACUUGGGCCUCACUCCGACAAUAUUCUGGGUUCUUUUGUUGCAAUCUCUACAGAGCUUUUUCUCUAAGUCCUUGCCGGGCCCCAAGCCUUGCAUCACUUGAUGGUUGUCAUAGUCGCCAAGUGUAGGCGCGGACAGACCUUGGAGGCCGUGGUAUCUUGCCAGUUGUGAUGAGUUCUGUGGACUCGGAGAGGGAGCUGUGCAAAGAGUAACCGAAAUUACUCCAGAAGUGCAGAGAGGAACCGGCUGAAAAUGCAGCGAUUGAAGCUUAUGGAAACUGAAGUGUCAUCGGAGGUAAAGUCUAAGUAGUAGACUAAA